UACGUAGGGUGCAAGCGUUGUCCGGAAUUAUUGGGCGUAAAGAGCUCGUAGGCGGUUUGUCACGUCUGCUGUGAAAACUGGAGGCUCAACCUCCAGCUUGCAGUGGGUACGGGGCAGACUAGAGUGCGGUAGGGGGAGAUUUGGAAUUCCUGGUGUACGGUGGAAUCGCAGAUAUCAGGAGGAACACCGAUGCGAAGGCAGAUCUCUGGGGCCGUAACUGAC
This 222-nucleotide ribosomal RNA is filed under the name uncultured bacterium. Its description in RNAcentral is "partial 16S ribosomal RNA". It matches the Rfam family "Bacterial small subunit ribosomal RNA", at positions 524 to 744 of the family's 1533-position model. The record is from RNAcentral.